Molecule: long non-coding RNA, 535 nt
Organism: Daphnia magna
Lineage: Eukaryota; Metazoa; Arthropoda; Branchiopoda; Diplostraca; Daphniidae
Exons: 3
Source: RefSeq, a predicted model, not a curated record
UAGUGUAGGUUUGGUGGGCAUCGUCAACACUUUUUAAAAGUGUAUAAGCCCACUUAUAUACGAUUUCCCGUGUACCCAUCCACAAGUGUACAACACACUUGUAAAACCCUUUGUUUCUCCUCGCGCUCUUGCCUUCGAGCAAUUUCUCUUCAAUUUGAAAUUUGGCAACAUUUCAGUCUGUGAGUCUGUUGUUGACUUGUUGUGACGCUAUCCAUCCUCCAACAGGGAAUGAAUUUUUUCAAGUUUUUUUCUGUAAAUACAUUUUCUUUUUUUUUUAAUUUGUGGAAUCAACUCGCCAUUUACGGCUCUGGAAUUGAAUCCCCUAUCAAGAUUCCAACUAAUAUCCUUACUAUAUAGUGGAUUCAUCAAAUCUGAAUGCCAACUCCAUUUAACUUCUUUAAAGCAACAAGUCAUCAUGCCAAUAUUGAAAAUGUUUUCAAUUUAUAAGUUGCUGCAGUUAAGUUGCUGCCCCAACUGUGGCCCGUUUCUCAUGUCUACAUCACAGCUUCUUCAGCAAUUAGUCUUCAUGGUGACA